RNAcentral lists this ribosomal RNA (546 nucleotides) under fungal endophyte sp. P1310A. RNAcentral describes it as "eukaryotic LSU rRNA". The stretch from base 187 to 340 matches the Rfam family "5.8S ribosomal RNA". Lineage: Eukaryota; Fungi. The record is from RNAcentral.
AGGGAUCAUUGCUGGAACGCGCUUCGGCGCACCCAGAAACCCUUUGUGAACUUAUACCUAUUUGUUGCCUCGGCGUAGGCCGGCCUCUUCACUGAGGCCCCCUGGAAACAGGGAGCAGCCCGCCGGCGGCCAACUAAACUCUUGUUUCUAUAGUGAAUCUCUGAGUAAAAAACAUAAAUGAAUCAAAACUUUCAACAACGGAUCUCUUGGUUCUGGCAUCGAUGAAGAACGCAGCGAAAUGCGAUAAGUAAUGUGAAUUGCAGAAUUCAGUGAAUCAUCGAAUCUUUGAACGCACAUUGCGCCCUCUGGUAUUCCGGAGGGCAUGCCUGUUCGAGCGUCAUUUCAACCCUCAAGCCUGGCUUGGUGAUGGGGCACUGCCUUCUAGCGAGGGCAGGCCCUGAAAUCUAGUGGCGAGCUCGCUAGGACCCCGAGCGUAGUAGUUAUAUCUCGUUCUGGAAGGCCCUGGCGGUGCCCUGCCGUUAAACCCCCAACUUCUGAAAAUUUGACCUCGGAUCAGGUAGGAAUACCCGCUGAACUUAAGCAUAU